This 883-nucleotide long non-coding RNA is filed under the name Prunus persica (peach). RNAcentral describes it as "long non-coding RNA (PPER_LNC004151)". Lineage: Eukaryota; Viridiplantae; Streptophyta; Magnoliopsida; Rosales; Rosaceae. The record is from RNAcentral.
GGAUAUAGAAAGCUAAACAAAGAAAGAACAACUCAACAAGUUACGUGAAACUGAAAAUGAGGUGAGAAAAACUUAAUUUGCAACGGAGAUAAUACUGUUUUGUUAUCACUUAUGUCACAACGUUAUUAGACAGAAUUAGCAAAAUAGUGAUAUUCUUAUUUUAUUGAAGUCUUUCUCCUCAACGGGGCUCAAGUCCAAUUUAGAGGAAGAGAAAGAGGAGAAAGAAAGAAACUUAAGAAAGCUACAAGAUUAUAAUAAUCUUCCAGCUUCUCUAAUUAGUGGGCCUAUAGUUGUUGAAGUCCUUGAAACCAUUUCCUCAAACUCAGUGAGCUGGGUUGGUAUUAUGCUGUUUAAAUAUGGGACCUCAAAAAUCCAACUGAUCGGAGUCAAAGGGAGAAGAAAGAAGCAGUAAGAGGAAAGCUUUCUAUACAUUUUUUUCCCUCAAGUUCACUGCUGUUCACUAUUCAGAACAGCAACAACUAAUACCAACAUUUUUUCUUUCUUUUAUAUUUCUUAACAUAAAAUCUAGUGCGGGAAAAAACAAAUAAACCUCUAAUUUACUUGUCCACCAAAAAAAAAAAAAAGACAAGCAUAUGAACUUCCAAAUUCCUCUGCUGAGCCUCAUAUACUGAAAAGAAAAGAAAUAAAAAUUGAAAAAGGAAAAGCCUCCUGCAUUUUAUUCCACAACAUUUGGCUGACACGGUUUUCAGAGCGCCUGGUCCAUCUACACAUGGUAGAGUUGGGAUUGCUUCUUUAAAAUAAAUAAUAAAAAAUUCAAAGAGUUACGGAUAAAAGUUAGAAAAGUUGGUCAUAGGAAUUUGUGAUUUGUUAUCUAGCAAACCGAAUAAAUUACAAUUUUCUUUAUAAAUGAUUUCAAUUACAC